RNAcentral lists this ribosomal RNA (497 nucleotides) under uncultured bacterium. RNAcentral describes it as "partial 16S ribosomal RNA". It matches the Rfam family "Bacterial small subunit ribosomal RNA", at positions 28 to 507 of the family's 1533-position model. The record is from RNAcentral.
GAUGAACGCUGGCGGCGUGCCUAUUACAUGCAAGUCGAGCGAACGGACGAGAAGCUUGCUUCUCUGAUGUUAGCGGCGGACGGGUGAGUAACACGUGGAUAACCUACCUAUAAGACUGGGAUAACUUCGGGAAACCGGAGCUAAUACCGGAUAAUAUUUUGAACCGCAUGGUUCAAAAGUGAAAGACGGUCUUGCUGUCACUUAUAGAUGGAUCCGCGCUGCAUUAGCUAGUUGGUAAGGUAACGGCUUACCAAGGCAACGAUGCAUAGCCGACCUGAGAGGGUGAUCGGCCACACUGGAACUGAGACACGGUCCAGACUCCUACGGGAGGCAGCAGUAGGGAAUCUUCCGCAAUGGGCGAAAGCCUGACGGAGCAACGCCGCGUGAGUGAUGAAGGUCUUCGGAUCGUAAAACUCUGUUAUUAGGGAAGAACAUAUGUGUAAGUGACUGUGCACAUCUUGACGGUACCUAAUCAGAAAGCCACGGCUAACUACGUG